Long non-coding RNA from Ruditapes philippinarum (Manila clam), 463 nucleotides. RefSeq lists it as uncharacterized. The record is from RefSeq and is a predicted model, not a curated record. The transcript has 3 exons. Lineage: Eukaryota; Metazoa; Mollusca; Bivalvia; Venerida; Veneridae.
CCCUGCUUUACAUAAUGAUAGACCUGUCCAGUUAUACAGUAACUGUUGUAAAAUUUGAAUUCUAAGAUAUCUGGGUCAGCAAAGAGAGCAGAGGAUGUACUUGAUAUUUCAGCAGUUUUGGAGAUAUUGUUUUGUUUAACAUUUAAAGUGUUUAUUAAGUAUUGGUAUGAUAACAAUCAGAAUCACCUGGGACAAGGAGAUAUACAACAGAAUCAGGCUGGGACAUAAGUGCUGACUGUGAGAAAUAGCGGCAGUGUUUAAUAAUGAUGUGCAGUAUUAAUCCUGAAAAGGUCAGCACAACCAUAAGAAGUUCUAGGAAACACUGGCAGAGGACUAAAAAUGGACACCGAUAAAAGAAAUAGUAAUUUAAAUAAUCAGAAACAUUUAAAACAAAUUUAAGAUUGAAUAGUUUGUCACUGACAGACUAAGAGCAAAAUAAUUGCUUAAAACAAAGUGUUGGAUU